RNAcentral lists this ribosomal RNA (158 nucleotides) under uncultured bacterium. RNAcentral's name for it is "partial 16S ribosomal RNA". It matches the Rfam family "Bacterial small subunit ribosomal RNA", at positions 355 to 509 of the family's 1533-position model. The record is from RNAcentral.
UGGGGAAUAUUGCACAAUGGGCGCAAGCCUGAUGCAGCGACGCCGCGUGAGGGACGAAGGCCUUCGGGUUGUAAACCUCUUUCGCCAGUGAAGCAGGCCGCUUCCUUGUGGGGUGGUUGACGGUAGCUGGGGUAAGAAGCGCCGGCUAACUACGUGCC